Long non-coding RNA from Dunckerocampus dactyliophorus (ringed pipefish), 1603 nucleotides. RefSeq lists it as uncharacterized. NCBI's taxonomy places the organism in Eukaryota, Metazoa, Chordata, Actinopteri, Syngnathiformes, Syngnathidae. The transcript is spliced from 6 exons. The record is from RefSeq and is a predicted model, not a curated record.
CUAGUCAAAAAUGACAAAUAAAAACUGAAUAUACCUUACAAAAAAUAUUUCUAAAACAUAUUUUAUAACCGUCGUCUUCCUUGGCAAAUGCAAAUAUCAACGACUAUUUUAUGUUUUAUUUUUAGACAAUUACAGUAUUUUGUCCCUGCGCUUGAGGUUGUUUUUAUUGUGCAUGUAGUUGAUUUUUGGGGGGGCAUUUAUGCUAAAAAUGACAUAAAUGUGCUGUUUUUCUAUUUGAAAAAUAGAUUUGCUUGGUUUGACUUGAAAAAAAUGUGGCUUCCAGGAUGAUGCCACGAAAACUAUCUUGCUGGGGUAAAACAAAAAAAAGAAGCUUUAAAUUGCUUUAAUACGGCAUUUGAAGAGCAAGCACGUGACGGAGUAUGGCCAAUUUCCGACGAGCUUUGUCCACAUGGCUGCGUACACUUGCUCGUAUGCGUGUGACAGUCAGAAGGCUAAGCUAAUAACCCGAAAAAGAAUUGAAUUCAUCAGACGAAAUGACCUGCCUUUCUCAGCAGCGGAGGACACAGGGUUCGCCGAGGGUUCUAUCGUUCUGCUAGAACUUAUACUCUUACAUCCAAAGUCUCCUUAAAGAAGGCGUCUCAUCCUGUGGAAGUUUCCCGAGUGAUAUAUAUAUGUGUUCUCUUGAAAAACCAGUAGCAGCGGUGCGGCCUGGACUUCUGGGUGUCAUGAAAAAAAAAAAACACGUAGCCCACCCCCACGCCCCUUUAUUAAUUAUUUACAAAUAUCGGUAUCGACAAAUAUUUUGGAUGCCAUCGGAUGUGCAGGUGUACCUAUUGAAUUGUCCGAACAACGCGUGUAGGUCGAGGAUACGGGAUGAGAACUGGUUGUCUGGCCCAUAAAUGUGCUAUAAUCCUCGAGGCGUUGCCACUCAGUCCACCUGACAGCAGCUCUGCUUUACAUCCACAAACCUCCUCGGCCAGGAGCGCCAUGUUGCAAGCUAACAAACCUCGGCUGCGUGCAGUCCGAACAACAGCGUCCAUGUCAACAACGGUGUGCUGAAGGAGGUGAGCAGCCAUCCACAAAGCCACCAAGCCGCACCUUAAAGGUAGAGCACGGCUGCACGUGUAUUCAGAACUUACUGUGGACCAUCUUGGACGAGGGAAGGCACUCUGUUGAGCAUGGCGGUGCAGGUGGAGGUGGCACAGGAGGACGAGGUGGAAGAGGGGGCAUGGAGCACCCGGACAUUUUUCCAGAGAUUGUGACAAAGGCUGACGUUGGACUAAAAUCAACAGUGCAAUCUUGAUUGCUCUGCAACAGAUCUUUCCAACAUACGAAUAUACAAAAUCUACAAGUAAUCGCCCUCUUCUUUUUCUGGAACGAAUUCCACAGCUAACUACACGUUAAAUGAGUUGAAAUGCAUGCUUUGUAAUUGUAUAGCAAACUAACACAAUGUGCUUGUUGAGUAAAAGUUGUUGUUAGAAUCUAUACCCCUUUUCAGACUAGCAUAGCGCCCAGUGUUUCUGACCAUAUUUGGAAACUCUCUUCUUCGUGGGUUUUGGGGGUUUCGGUAACCAACUCACAUUUUGUCGCCCCCAUUUGUACGGAGGAAAUGUGUGCUUUUUAUUAAAUAAUUUCUGUGUUU